Anas platyrhynchos (mallard) is the source of this 447-nucleotide non-coding RNA. The record is from RefSeq and is a predicted model, not a curated record. Lineage: Eukaryota; Metazoa; Chordata; Aves; Anseriformes; Anatidae.
AUAAAUAUAGAGGAUGACACUCACUAACUAGAAAGUUGCAAAAGCUGGAGUUGAUGGAAAAUGUCAUGUAAUUCCAUAGUAUGGGAUUCAUGUGCAGCUGGGCCAAAACACUUACCGAGCAGACUUCUCCAAGAUGAGUCUACCAGUUGUGUUCAUCUGAACAGUUGCUGGCUUCUGGCUGCCUUGGACAGGCUUUUCAACUCUUCUCUGAAGAAGUGAAAGAAUGGAAGAUUUGGGGGAUCUGAAGCAGAUGAAGCAGACAUCAGUCAAAGCCAGCUGCAGAAUAUUCAUAUGAAGGAAGAUUUAGGGAUUCUGGUCUCUGCUACCAAGACUAUUUCUGCCUUUCUUCCAAUGACUGUAUAAUAGAAUAAACAACCAUUUAAGGGAGCAGAAUCCAAAACUCCACUUUUGUUCCUCCCUGUUCUUGUAGGGAAAUUCUAAGAUAAA